AGAGUUUGAUCAUGGCUCAGAUUGAACGCUGGCGGCAGGCCUAACACAUGCAAGUCGAACGGUAACAGGAAACAGCUUGCUGUUUCGCUGACGAGUGGCGGACGGGUGAGUAAUGUCUGGGAAACUGCCCGAUGGAGGGGGAUAACUACUGGAAACGGUAGCUAAUACCGCAUAACGUCGCAAGACCAAAGAGGGGGACCUUAGGGCCUCUUGCCAUCGGAUGUGCCCAGAUGGGAUUAGCUAGUAGGUGGGGUAAUGGCUCACCUAGGCGACGAUCCCUAGCUGGUCUGAGAGGAUGACCAGCCACACUGGAACUGAGACACGGUCCAGACUCCUACGGGAGGCAGCAGUGGGGAAUAUUGCACAAUGGGCGCAAGCCUGAUGCAGCCAUGCCGCGUGUAUGAAGAAGGCCUUCGGGUUGUAAAGUACUUUCAGCGGGGAGGAAGGGAGUAAAGUUAAUACCUUUGCUCAUUGACGUUACCCGCAGAAGAAGCACCGGCUAACUCCGUGCCAGCAGCCGCGGUAAUACGGAGGGUGCAAGCGUUAAUCGGAAUUACUGGGCGUAAAGCGCACGCAGGCGGUUUGUUAAGUCAGAUGUGAAAUCCCCGGGCUCAACCUGGGAACUGCAUCUGAUACUGGCAAGCUUGAGUCUCGUAGAGGGGGGUAGAAUUCCAGGUGUAGCGGUGAAAUGCGUAGAGAUCUGGAGGAAUACCGGUGGCGAAGGCGGCCCCCUGGACGAAGACUGACGCUCAGGUGCGAAAGCGUGGGGAGCAAACAGGAUUAGAUACCCUGGUAGUCCACGCCGUAAACGAUGUCGACUUGGAGGUUGUGCCCUUGAGGCGUGGCUUCCGGAGCUAACGCGUUAAGUCGACCGCCUGGGGAGUACGGCCGCAAGGUUAAAACUCAAAUGAAUUGACGGGGGCCCGCACAAGCGGUGGAGCAUGUGGUUUAAUUCGAUGCAACGCGAAGAACCUUACCUGGUCUUGACAUCCACGGAAGUUUUCAGAGAUGAGAAUGUGCCUUCGGGAACCGUGAGACAGGUGCUGCAUGGCUGUCGUCAGCUCGUGUUGUGAAAUGUUGGGUUAAGUCCCGCAACGAGCGCAACCCUUAUCCUUUGUUGCCAGCGGUCCGGCCGGGAACUCAAAGGAGACUGCCAGUGAUAAACUGGAGGAAGGUGGGGAUGACGUCAAGUCAUCAUGGCCCUUACGACCAGGGCUACACACGUGCUACAAUGGCGCAUACAAAGAGAAGCGACCUCGCGAGAGCAAGCGGACCUCAUAAAGUGCGUCGUAGUCCGGAUUGGAGUCUGCAACUCGACUCCAUGAAGUCGGAAUCGCUAGUAAUCGUGGAUCAGAAUGCCACGGUGAAUACGUUCCCGGGCCUUGUACACACCGCCCGUCACACCAUGGGAGUGGGUUGCAAAAGAAGUAGGUAGCUUAACCUUCGGGAGGGCGCUUACCACUUUGUGAUUCAUGACUGGGGUGAAGUCGUAACAAGGUAACCGUAGGGGAACCUGCGGUUGGAUCACCU
Molecule: ribosomal RNA, 1530 nt
Filed under: Escherichia coli
Lineage: Bacteria; Pseudomonadati; Pseudomonadota; Gammaproteobacteria; Enterobacterales; Enterobacteriaceae
Description: bacterial SSU rRNA
Rfam family: Bacterial small subunit ribosomal RNA
Source: RNAcentral